The sequence is a non-coding RNA, 356 nucleotides long. It matches the Rfam family "transfer-messenger RNA". From Rfam's summary of the family: Bacterial tmRNA, also known as 10Sa RNA or SsrA, is named for its dual tRNA and mRNA-like properties. The record is from Rfam.
GGGGGCGUUACGGAUUCGACGACGGUAACGAAACCUGCGGUGCAUGCCGUGAUGACAGCCAAUCACGUUAAUCCAAAGCUGUUAACUAAUAGUUGCCAACGACGACAACUACGCACUAGCGGCUUAAACCCUGCUAGCGGUCUAUCCCAAGAUGCCAGUAUCGAGGGUGUGACUGUCACUUAGAACUGGACCGCGGUGGCUCAUGUCUCGGGAGACACCGUCAAAUUUUACGAGACUCGCGGUCUACGUCCUGACCGUUGGGCUGUUGACCGUUAAAUUAAUUAACGGAAACUAAGCAUGUAGAGCCAAAGGCAGAGUACUGGCGGACGCGGGUUCAACUCCCGCCGCCUCCACCA